RNAcentral lists this ribosomal RNA (733 nucleotides) under Hebeloma sp. K06C5T156a. RNAcentral's name for it is "eukaryotic LSU rRNA". The stretch from base 309 to 462 matches the Rfam family "5.8S ribosomal RNA". The record is from RNAcentral. Lineage: Eukaryota; Fungi; Basidiomycota; Agaricomycetes; Agaricales; Hymenogastraceae.
CUUGGUCAUUUAGAGGAAGUAAAAGUCGUAACAAGGUUUCCGUAGGUGAACCUGCGGAAGGAUCAUUAUUGAAUGAAUUUGGUGUGGUUGUUGCUGGCCUUCUUGGAGGCAUGUGCACACCUACCAUCCUCAUCUCUCCACCUGUGCACCUCUUGUAGAUUUGGAAUUGAUUAUCCGAGGCAACUCGGUCGUGAGGACUGCCAAGCCACUUAGCUGGCUUUCUUUGCAAUUCCAGGUCUAUGUUUUUCAUAUACCCCAUUGUACGUAACAGAAUGUAUCAUUGGGCCUUGUGCCUCUAAACCUUAUACAACUUUCAGCAACGGAUCUCUUGGCUCUCGCAUCGAUGAAGAACGCAGCGAAAUGCAAUAAGUAAUGUGAAUUGCAGAAUUCAGUGAAUCAUCGAAUCCUUGAACGCACCUUGCGCUCCUUGGUAUUCCGAGGAGCAUGCCUGUUUGAGUGUCAUUAAAUUCUCAACCGUUAUCAACUUUUGCUGAUAAUGGCUUGGAUGUGGGGGUUUAUUUUGCUGGCUUCUCAGAUAGUCAGCUCCCCUUAAAUGCAUUAGCCGGUGCCCCGCGUGGACUGUCUAUUGGUGUGAUAAUUAUCUACGCUAUGGACAUCUGCAAUCAUAUGGGUUUGCACUGCUUCCAAUAGUCUGUUAAAGACAAUACAUGACAAUUUGACCUCAAUCAGGUAGGACUACCCGCUGAACUUAAGCAUAUCAAUAAGCGGAGGA